Molecule: transfer RNA, 73 nt
Filed under: bacterium
Lineage: Bacteria
Also listed under: 1 other name
Description: tRNA-Val
Rfam family: tRNA
About the family: Transfer RNA (tRNA) molecules are approximately 80 nucleotides in length.
Source: RNAcentral
GCGCGAUUAGCUCAGUUGGUAGAGCAGAUCAUUUACACUGAUAAGGUCGGGGGUUCGAGUCCCUCAUCGCGCA